AGAUUGAACGCUGGCGGCAGGCCUAACACAUGCAAGUCGAGCGGUAGAGAGGUGCUUGCAUCUCUUGAGAGCGGCGGACGGGUGAGUAAUGCCUAGGAAUCUGCCUAGUGGUGGGGGAUAACGUUCGGAAACGGACGCUAAUACCGCAUACGUCCUACGGGAGAAAGCGGGGGACCUUCGGGCCUCGCGCCAUUAGAUGAGCCUAGGUCGGAUUAGCUAGUUGGUGAGGUAAUGGCUCACCAAGGCGACGAUCCGUAACUGGUCUGAGAGGAUGAUCAGUCACACUGGAACUGAGACACGGUCCAGACUCCUACGGGAGGCAGCAGUGGGAAAUAUUGGACAAUGGGCGAAAGCCUGAUCCAGCCAUGCCGCGUGUGUGAAGAAGGUCUUCGGAUUGUAAAGCACUUUAAGUUGGAGGAAGGUGUAAACUUUAAUACGUUGACAACGUUUGACGUUUACCGACAGAAUAGGCACCGGCUAACUUCGUGCCAGCAGCCGUACG
This 502-nucleotide ribosomal RNA is filed under the name uncultured soil bacterium. RNAcentral describes it as "bacterial SSU rRNA". It matches the Rfam family "Bacterial small subunit ribosomal RNA", at positions 26 to 521 of the family's 1533-position model. The record is from RNAcentral.